RNAcentral lists this long non-coding RNA (955 nucleotides) under Homo sapiens (human). RNAcentral describes it as "non-protein coding lnc-LGALS2-2:1". The record is from RNAcentral. Lineage: Eukaryota; Metazoa; Chordata; Mammalia; Primates; Hominidae.
UUAUUUAAUCAGGCCCCAGAGGCAAGUCUGGGGUAUACAGGCAGGUGGGAUUCCUCCCCGGGAGGUCAUACCUGACCUUUCUGGGGUAAGAGGGAGGCUGGGGCGGGGAUGUUGGGGAAGCGGCCUGGGAGACGGCUGUCAGGGUUGCAGCAGGGACGCUCUGGGAUGAGCUGGGGGCAGGCGGUCCCUUUGGGAGGUGAGACAAUGGCCCUGUGUGGUACACUCCCUGCCCCCCACCCCCCACGGGCCGCUUGGUCUGGCACAAAGGACACACUGUGAGGCUGGGUCCUCCAGCUGGUGGGGGUGGCAUGGAGUGGGGCCUAAGGAACAGCUAUUAGGUCCAGAGUGGCAGUCGGGGGAGGUGGUCAGUUUGGCAGGGCCUCUGGGAGCAUAAAAGUCCCAGAGCAAGCCUGGCCUUCCCUGUCCUCCCUCCCAUGUCUGUCCUGCAGAGGUGGGGAGGGGUUUAGGGGCAACAUGACUUCUCCCCUCUCCGGUCUGGUAGGAACCAGCUGUUAGGUGAGGGGCCGGCUCUGCACCUAGGUGGGGCCCUGGGACCGUGCCCCAGCCCCUCACACCUUGACCUCAUCAUCCUCCUCAGCAUCCGCAAAUUCAAAGGUGUUUGCUUGCACUGUGCUGGGCACUGGGGUCCUGCUGCCUGCCUGGGGCGCCCUCCACUCUUCGUCCAGGCUCUCCCAGGAGGACCCGUGGGGUUUGCAGUAGGGGCUGGGGGGUUUGCAGCGGGGGCUGGAGUCUCAGCUGCAGGGGCUUCUGGGAGGCUCAUGACCCCUAGCAGCUCGCUGAGGAGUGAGGGCCCAAGGUCGAGGUCCAGGCGGAAGGACAAGAGAGAGUCAGAGCGGCGAAGCCCGGGCUCAGAGGGGAAGGAACCAUCCCGGUCUCGGUCAUGCGGCUUUUCCGAGCGGGGCAGGCGGGAGAUGGUGCAGAACCCAGAGUCCAG